RNAcentral lists this ribosomal RNA (230 nucleotides) under Loktanella sp. Its description in RNAcentral is "partial 16S ribosomal RNA". It matches the Rfam family "Bacterial small subunit ribosomal RNA", at positions 556 to 786 of the family's 1533-position model. Lineage: Bacteria; Pseudomonadati; Pseudomonadota; Alphaproteobacteria; Rhodobacterales; Roseobacteraceae. The record is from RNAcentral.
GGGCGUAAGCGCGCGUAGGCGGAUUGGAAAGUUGGGGGUGAAAUCCCGGGGCUCAACCCCGGAACUGCCUCCAAAACUAUCAGUCUAGAGGUCGAGAGAGGUGAGUGGAAUUCCGAGUGUAGAGGUGAAAUUCGUAGAUAUUCGGAGGAACACCAGUGGCGAAGGCGGCUCACUGGCUCGAUACUGACGCUGAGGUGCGAAAGCGUGGGGAGCAAACAGGAUUAGAUACC